This is a long non-coding RNA of Canis lupus familiaris (dog), 504 nucleotides long. RefSeq lists it as uncharacterized. NCBI's taxonomy places the organism in Eukaryota, Metazoa, Chordata, Mammalia, Carnivora, Canidae. The transcript has 2 exons. The record is from RefSeq and is a predicted model, not a curated record.
AUCCAGGCUGAGUCACAAUGACCACUGGUGACGGUGCUUGCAUUUUCAAUGCAGGAUCUUCAAUGGCAGCAGUCUGAAAAGGGAAAAGUUGGUGUAAGUGGACUCCAGGUGGCUCCUGGAAAUCUGCGUUGAGGCAUUCCGCUCCACAGCCAAGAGCAGAAAGUGAUGGAAGAUUUCAGGCAAAAGAAAAAAAUGGAGACAGGAGGAACUGAAAUGGAAAUCUUGGCACAAGUUUUGAAGAGAGACUACAACUCCUUUCUUUAGAAGUUUCAUUUCAUGGAGUGGCCUCAACACUAGGAAUCCUUGCAGAAUUUGGCUCAUUUUAAGCAUCCUAAUUUGAUCUAUUUGUUAUAGAUCUUUGUUAUAACUAACCUUAUACCUGUCUCCCUUGACUUGGAACAUGUCACUCUUGAGAAGAACAGCCCAUAAUCAUAUUAAUAUUAACUGCUAGUAUUGAUGUAUUACUCUAUUAUAUUAAUAUUAAUAAAUCCAGGUACUAAUGCA